RNAcentral lists this ribosomal RNA (789 nucleotides) under Triticum aestivum (bread wheat). RNAcentral describes it as "partial small subunit ribosomal RNA". The record is from RNAcentral. Lineage: Eukaryota; Viridiplantae; Streptophyta; Magnoliopsida; Poales; Poaceae.
AUGACCGGCUGCUUCACAGCUUCAUAUCGAGCUCUAGUGAAUCACAAAGAGCGAUUGGCUCUAGGUGAGGGGCAGAUUACCGGCACUUCAGUUGAUCAACAACAGUUGUGGAAUGCAGUUUGGAAACUUAAAGUAGUCCCUAAAGUCAGAAUUUCCUGGUGGCGGGUAUUGAGGGGCAUCUUGCCCGAUGAGUGCACUCUUAAGUUUCGCCACAUGAGAACAAUCAGCACAUGCAAGAUUUGUCUUGCUAUGGAGGAGGAUAUGGAGGAUGCGAUGUUGCACUGCUCGCAUGCACGCAGGUUCUGGGAGGAGGCAAGAUUGCUCUUUGAUGUUCAUCUACCUCGCCUCCACCCGCAAACGUGGACAAAAGAUAUUGUCUGUGAUUCCCGGUUUUCGGACAAGGAAAGGGCGAUCUUCGUAACCCUGAUGUGGGCUAUCUGGAUGUCACGCAAUCGCCUAACGCAUGAUCGGGAAGGAUGGGAUCCUGCAGCUUCUGUGAGGAGGAUCAGAGAGGACCUAGCCAUCCUCGAGCUACCCCGGCAACUUACUUCAACACUGCCAGGCUAUGGUUGGCAACCCCCUGAUGACUCGCAUAUAAAGAUAAACACAGAUGCUGCUGUCCAUCUAGAUGAUGGGAAUGCGGGGCUGGGUGGUGUUGCUCGUUCUUCAUCGGGAUUCAAGGGUGCAUGGUGCAAGCCAGUUCCAGGUGUCACUGAUCCUCUAAUUGCAGAGGCUCUUGCGCUGAAGGAAGGAGCGGUUUUUGCUACACUUCGAGGCUACACUGACUGA